This 253-nucleotide ribosomal RNA is filed under the name uncultured bacterium. Its description in RNAcentral is "partial 16S ribosomal RNA". It matches the Rfam family "Bacterial small subunit ribosomal RNA", at positions 524 to 776 of the family's 1533-position model. The record is from RNAcentral.
UACGGGGGGGGCAAGCGUUGUUCGGAAUUACUGGGCGUAAAGGGCUCGUAGGCGGCCAACUAAGUCAGACGUGAAAUCCCCAGGCUCAACUUGGGAACUGCGUCUGAUACUGGAUGGCUUGAAUUCGGGAGAGGGAUGCAGAAUUCCAGGUGUAGCGGUGAAAUGCGUAGAUAUCUGGAGGAAUACCGGUGGCGAAGGCGGCAUCCUGGACCGACAUUGACGCUGAUGAGCGAAAGCCAGGGGAGCAAACGGG